Tarenaya hassleriana is the source of this 1377-nucleotide long non-coding RNA. RefSeq lists it as uncharacterized. The transcript has 2 exons. Lineage: Eukaryota; Viridiplantae; Streptophyta; Magnoliopsida; Brassicales; Cleomaceae. The record is from RefSeq and is a predicted model, not a curated record.
UAUCGAUUCCCUUUAGCUUUUGAUUUGUUCCAUCUAGGGUUUCGAUUUCUCUUAUUUCUCAAUCGGUUUCUGGUUUUGGCGAGCAAUUUCACACCUGGGCUUCGAUUUCGGUCGGGAAAUCAAACGGGUUUCUGUUUGAUUUAGUAAUUUAGCUGGUAGGGAUUUGAAUCUUAUUCUUUGCCCUUUCUGUGAUUUUCUCAAUCUCGAGACCUUUCACAAUCACUGUUCGAUGGGGUGAUUGAGUCGAAUCUCGAUUCUUUGAUCGGUUCUGAGAAAGAUUUCUCUAUUGCAACUCUGUUUCCCUGAUAAACCCUAAACCCUAGUCCAGGCUUGGCACUGUUCAUGUAUGUAAACUUGUAGAUGAUUAGACAUAUAAGUUUCAUCAACUUACAUAAUCCUACGAUUGAAGCAGCCGUGUCCUUACCCUCUUCUGUUGUUUGCCCAAAUUGGAUAGAGAUGCAGAACCGUGGAGAUAUAGAGUAAAUCCGUAGUUGUGAACUCGAAAUCUUGCAAAAGUAUCGAAAAUUGAAUAGGUUUUUGAUAUGAAGGGUUAGUUCUCCUGGUUCGUGAUCAUCAGAUUGAAUCGUCGAAGCGAGUUACGUAAAGAGAUUGAAAGUGCACAAUUUGAUGAUUCAUGUUUGAUCUGAGUUGGGUGUCGUUCCUUCUUUUUUCCUCAAUCCUUAUGCUUCAGAUUCUUUGUUUUGUGAUCCUCCUGCAAAUAGAGCGUAGUUUUCCAUGAAGUGAAACAAUGUUCCCUUCCCUAAGGUCUGUAUGGAUACUUGAGUGCUAUUUCAGGUCUCUGCUUAUGGGAUGUCAUCAAGAACCGCAGAAACCAUGGAGUGACUAAUUUGUUAUAGUUGAUGCACUCCUACCCGAUGAAACCAACCUGAGAGCACGACACUGAUGUUUUCAUAGACUCGGAUGCAGAAGCAGGAAAUGCCUCUUGCCUCUGCUCGGGAUGGCGGUGAAAAAUGGUCGGAUCAUAUGAUCGAUAGACCUUCGCCCAUCACAAAUCUUUCUGUUUUCAGACAAGGGUUGAUUCUAUUUGAAGACAAGAACUCACAAAAUGACACACCUGAGAUUUGUCUCAUGAUGAGAAAGAAGAGAGCCAUCCUUCAAGAACAGGACUAUAUAUAUCCAUCUUCAAGUUACCCUCGAGCAAAUUAUGUUCGAGUUCUAGAGCUGAUGGUUCUACCAAUGGUAGAUUCAGAUGAUCUAUUACCAAAUUUGAAUCCUAGUCUAUAUAGAGGUCUCUCAUGUUUUUGAGCAAAUGAUGCAUUUGUAUACACACGCGGUUAUAUUUUGCUGAUACCUUUGUAUUUUUUUAAAUUUGAAAAAAAAAAUCAGUUGUUUUAAUAAUUUUUAUUAGUUUGGAUA